This 485-nucleotide long non-coding RNA is filed under the name Mytilus galloprovincialis (Mediterranean mussel). Lineage: Eukaryota; Metazoa; Mollusca; Bivalvia; Mytilida; Mytilidae. The record is from RNAcentral.
GCUUGUGUAACGUCCAGUUAUCUAAAAGAAAUCUAUGAAAGUCAUAUUGAAGAUCAGAUGAAAUCAUGAACAGGAAACUUUUUUAUACUUCUCUAGCUAUAACUAGAGGCUCUCAAGAGCCUGUAUCGCUCACCUGAUUCUACCUGGGUUUUUGAAAUCAUAUAAAACUAGAGGCUCUCAAGAGCCUGUGUCGCUCACUUUGGUCUUUGUGCAUAUUAAACAAUGGACACAGAUAAAUUCACGACAAAAUUGUGUUUUGGUGAUGGUGACGUGUAUGUAUAUCUUACUGUACUGAACAUUCUUGUUGCUACAAUUAUCAAUAUUUAUAAUGAUCUUGGCCCAGUAAUUACAGUGGAAAAUAUUUUUUUUAAAUUUACCAAAAUUUAUGAAAAAUGUUAAAAAUUGACUAUAAAGGGCAAUAACUCCUUAAGGGGUCAAUUGACAAUUUUGGUCAUGUUGCCUUAUUUGUAGAUCUUACUUUGCUG